AGAUUGAACGCUGGCGGCAGGCCUAACACAUGCAAGUCGAGCGGCAGCACGGGUACUUGUACCUGGUGGCGAGCGGCGGACGGGUGAGUAAUGCCUAGGAAUCCGCCUGGUAGUGGGGGAUAACGCUCGGAAACGGACGCUAAUACCGCAUACGUCCUACGGGAGAAAGCAGGGGACCUUCGGGCCUUGCGCUAUCAGAUGAGCCUAGGUCGGAUUAGCUAGUUGGUGAGGUAAUGGCUCACCAAGGCGACGAUCCGUAACUGGUCUGAGAGGAUGAUCAGUCACACUGGAACUGAGACACGGUCCAGACUCCGUACGGGAGGCAGCAGUGGGAAUAUUGGACAAUGGGCGAAAGCCUGAUCCAGCCAUGCCGCGUGCGUGAAGAAGGUCUCGGAUUGUAAAGCACGUUUAAGUGGAGGAAGGCAGUUACUAAUACGUAUCUGUUUGACGUUACGACAGAAUAAGCACCGGCUAACUCUGUG
RNAcentral lists this ribosomal RNA (482 nucleotides) under uncultured soil bacterium. Its description in RNAcentral is "bacterial SSU rRNA". It matches the Rfam family "Bacterial small subunit ribosomal RNA", at positions 26 to 507 of the family's 1533-position model. The record is from RNAcentral.